Molecule: ribosomal RNA, 399 nt
Filed under: Staphylococcus aureus
Lineage: Bacteria; Bacillati; Bacillota; Bacilli; Caryophanales; Staphylococcaceae
Description: partial 23S ribosomal RNA
Rfam family: Bacterial large subunit ribosomal RNA
Source: RNAcentral
AACACAGGUCUCUGCUAAACCGUAAGGUGAUGUAUAGGGGCUGACGCCUGCCCGGUGCUGGAAGGUUAAGAGGAGUGGUUAGCUUCUGCGAAGCUACGAAUCGAAGCCCCAGUAAACGGCGGCCGUAACUAUAACGGUCCUAAGGUAGCGAAAUUCCUUGUCGGGUAAGUUCCGACCCGCACGAAAGGCGUAACGAUUUGGGCACUGUCUCAACGAGAGACUCGGUGAAAUCAUAGUACCUGUGAAGAUGCAGGUUACCCGCGACAGGACGGAAAGACCCCGUGGAGCUUUACUGUAGCCUGAUAUUGAAAUUCGGCACAGCUUGUACAGGAUAGGUAGGAGCCUUUGAAACGUGAGCGCUAGCUUACGUGGAGGCGCUGGUGGGAUACUACCCUAGCU